RNAcentral lists this long non-coding RNA (204 nucleotides) under Solanum tuberosum (potato). Its description in RNAcentral is "long non-coding RNA (STUB_LNC006349)". Lineage: Eukaryota; Viridiplantae; Streptophyta; Magnoliopsida; Solanales; Solanaceae. The record is from RNAcentral.
CGUUUCACAAAGAAUGACUUCCUUUCCUUUUUAGGCAAUUUCAAAAAGAAUGACCUCUUUCCUUUUUUGAUAACAUUUUACUUUUUGCUUUCCACGUGACAUGUUUAAGACCACAAGAUUAAGGAUAAUUUUGUACAUUUGACAUAACUUUAAUUUAGAACCACAAGAUUCAAAAGUCUUCUUUAUUUACUUAAACUCCGUGCC